GGCAGGAACCCAACUGCAAACUCUUUCUCUCUCUUCCCCCACGAACUGAAAUUACUAAAUGUUUCCAUCAGGCAUUUCAGCUGUGACCUCAGGUCUGGACCUCGGUGUGCCAUACAAAGCCCAUGGACACACCAGCCCACAUAAUACAUGCUACACACUGCUGAAAGGACAGCCUGCAUGGGAUGAGGCGCCUGGGACAGCUGAGCACACUCCUGCACAUGGCAAAGCCGCAUCGGUUGCAGUGAGAUGAGAUGGCUGAGGAAAACAUGGAUAUAUGCACAAGCAGACAGAAAAGAAGUUUCUGAAUAACGCACCAGCUUGAACCACUGGAAAGAAACAAAUAAAUGAGCUGGCAGCUUUCACAGGGAGGAGCCUUGAAGCCCAGUUCCCAAGACCACGCCAACCAGCUCCAUGUGACAGCAUACAGGAAUGAAAAUAGGAACCAUCCUGAUCACCACUCGCCUUGCAGCAAAGGAUGUUUUUUUUCUCACCUAACUCCCAACAAUGUUGGUAUCUACAUCUGCUCAGCCACAUUCAACUCCCACCAGAGUUAAUGGAGUGAGUAGGCACUUCUGAGGAGCAAAUCGCCUGGCCUACAGCAGAUGCCUUCCUGAGGAUAAGAUCAGUAUCACCCCCUGACAGCUGUGAAGACCAUUUAGCUCUAGGUCAGCCGUACAUGUACACAUACAGCCAGAUGAAUCCUAUCCCAAGUGAGCUGCUGCAACAAAUCAAAACCACAGUUGUUUUACACACAGAAUUGGCCUUGGGUGCAUCCUUUUCUCCUUGUUCAUCUGUUUUGCACUGUUCUAAGAUGCUUUUUAUGGCUGACCCUAAGACAGGGAACCCACUGCUGUUUCUACACCUCCAACAAGCAACAAGAACAUGAAGACCUCCACGUGUGCACAGGCGGUGCUGCUUUAGCACAAAGGUUUGAAGCAGAACUGGUUAGCCAAGUUCUUACAUGUAGACAUAAAGCCCCAGCAGAGACCUUUGCAAACAUCUCUGCUGGUCCCCUGCGUUACUGGUCAGUGUUUCACCCAGCAGAUCUCUGAACUUAGAAAGUUACUUGGUUCACUGGUAUAAUUACAGGUAUAUUCCCGUUGGAUUUGGCAGCAUUUGCUAACCAAACAUCAUGCAUUAGCUCCUAAGAGAAAGACAUUAUUUAUUUUACCCACACAAGGUUUAUCUUGUGGUAGCCAUCAACUUUCCAUGGAAAGAUCACACUCUAAUGCUAUACAUCAGUCAUUAGAGGCAGCUUCUAAACUUUAAUAUCUCCAAAGGAACAAUAAUUGCAACCCUUUCAAUAUUUAAUAUUUGCAGACAAGCGGAAUGAACUCACUGGAAUCAGCAGGUGGUGUAUGUUCAGCUGCUCAGAGCAACAUUCGGCCUGCUUAUUCCCAGCGAGGGCAGCUGACACCCGAGAAGCAAUGCCCUGUGAAUGUACCAUUCAGCGGGUAGGAGAGCCCAGAGUUUGUAUGGUAGACAUCAAAGUGUUUUGUAACAUGCAGAUGUUUUCCAUGCAGAGCGGAAAAAAAAGUGAUGGACAAGAUUUUGUAAAUUCUGUGCUGUGCUUUUUUCUUCAUUUUCUCCUUGACCUACCCCCAUUUCCUUGUAUUUUCUUGUAUGUAAGAAUGAUACUAUUAAAAAUGAU
Cuculus canorus (common cuckoo) is the source of this 1651-nucleotide long non-coding RNA. RefSeq lists it as uncharacterized. The record is from RefSeq and is a predicted model, not a curated record. Lineage: Eukaryota; Metazoa; Chordata; Aves; Cuculiformes; Cuculidae. The transcript has 3 exons.